GGAGCAGAUAGACUGAGAGGGGGCAUACCUAUGAAUCAGUGAAGAAAUGUAAGAGGAGCUAGAGUUGGUUAGAGCUUUAAAGGUAAGGGUUAGUAUUUUAAAUUGACACCUGUAGGGUACAGGAAGCCAGUGUAAGGGUCGACAGAGGGGUGUGGUGUGAGAGGAGCAACAGGAAAGAAAGAUCAGCCUGGCAGCAGCAUUCAUCACAUAUUGUAA
Pelobates cultripes (western spadefoot toad) is the source of this 216-nucleotide non-coding RNA. Lineage: Eukaryota; Metazoa; Chordata; Amphibia; Anura; Pelobatidae. The record is from the annotation of a GenBank genome assembly.